RNAcentral lists this ribosomal RNA (365 nucleotides) under uncultured Latescibacterota bacterium. Its description in RNAcentral is "bacterial SSU rRNA". It matches the Rfam family "Bacterial small subunit ribosomal RNA", at positions 1017 to 1382 of the family's 1533-position model. Lineage: Bacteria; Pseudomonadati; Candidatus Latescibacterota. The record is from RNAcentral.
UCUUCGGAGGCACCUGCACAGGUGCUGCAUGGCUGUCGUCAGCUCGUGUCGUGAGAUGUUGGGUUAAGUCCCGCAACGAGCGCAACCCUUAUCCCUAGUUGCCAUCAGGUAAAGCUGGGAACUCUGGGGAGACUGCCGGUGAUAAACCGGAGGAAGCGGGGAUGACGUCAAGUCCUCAUGGCCCUUACAUCCCGGGCUACACACGUGCUACAAUGGCAGGUACAGAGGGCUGCGAAGCCGCGAGGUGGAGCGAAUCCCAGAAGACCUGUCUCAGUCCGGAUUGAAGUCUGCAACUCGACUUCAUGAAGGCGGAAUCGCUAGUAACCGCGAAUCAGCAGGUCGCGGUGAAUACGUUCCCGGGCCUU